GGCCGGUUGGUUCAGUGGUUAGAAUGCAGUGCUUAUAACACCAAGGUCGCUGGUUCGAUUCCCACAUUGGCCA
Non-coding RNA from Rhinolophus ferrumequinum (greater horseshoe bat), 73 nucleotides. NCBI's taxonomy places the organism in Eukaryota, Metazoa, Chordata, Mammalia, Chiroptera, Rhinolophidae. The record is from the annotation of a RefSeq genome assembly.